AACUCCAUAGGUUAAGUAAACUUCAUAGAUUGCUACUAUGAGAUAGGGGGUUG
Molecule: transfer RNA, 53 nt
Filed under: Longicollum sp. (in: thorny-headed worms)
Lineage: Eukaryota; Metazoa; Acanthocephala; Palaeacanthocephala; Echinorhynchida; Pomphorhynchidae
Description: tRNA-Ala
Source: RNAcentral